UACGUAGGGGGCAAGCGUUGUCCGGAUUUAUUGGGCGUAAAGAGCGUGUAGGCGGCCAUGCAGGUCCGUUGUGAAAACUCGAGGCUCAACCUCGAGACGCCGAUGGAAACCGCAUGGCUAGAGUCCGGAAGAGGAGAGUGGAAUUCCUGGUGUAGCGGUGAAAUGCGCAGAUAUCAGGAGGAACACCAAUGGCGAAGGCAGCUCGCUGGGACGUGACUGACGCUGAGACGCGAAAGCGUGGGGAGCAAACAGG
This 253-nucleotide ribosomal RNA is filed under the name uncultured bacterium. RNAcentral's name for it is "partial 16S ribosomal RNA". It matches the Rfam family "Bacterial small subunit ribosomal RNA", at positions 524 to 776 of the family's 1533-position model. The record is from RNAcentral.